UACGGGGGGGGCAAGCGUUGUUCGGAAUUACUGGGCGUAAAGGGCUCGUAGGCGGCCAACUAAGUCAUACGUGAAAUCCCUCGGCUUAACCGGGGAACUGCGUCUGAUACUGGAUGGCUUGAGAUUGGGAGAGGGAUGCGGAAUUCCAGGUGUAGCGGUGAAAUGCGUAGAUAUCGGGAGGAACACCUGUGGCGAAAGCGGCGCACUGGACCAUAACUGACGCUGAUGCGCGAAAGCUAGGGGAGCAAACAGG
Molecule: ribosomal RNA, 253 nt
Filed under: uncultured bacterium
Lineage: Bacteria
Description: partial 16S ribosomal RNA
Rfam family: Bacterial small subunit ribosomal RNA
Source: RNAcentral